UACGUAGGUGGUAAGCGUUGUCCGGAAUUAUUGGGCGUAAAGAGCUCGUAGGCGGCCCUUUAAGUCGGAAGUGAAAUCUCAGGGCUCAACCCUGAAAUCGCUCCCGAUACUGGAGGGCUUGAGGCAGGUAGGGGAAGGUGGAAUUCCUGGUGUAGCGGUGAAAUGCGCAGAUAUCAGGAGGAACACCAGUGGCGAAGGCGGCCUUCUGGGCCUGUUCUGACGCUGAGGAGCGAAAGCGUGGGUAGCAAACAGG
Molecule: unclassified non-coding RNA, 253 nt
Filed under: uncultured Euzebyales bacterium
Lineage: Bacteria; Bacillati; Actinomycetota; Nitriliruptoria; Euzebyales
Description: contains 16S-23S intergenic spacer region
Rfam family: Bacterial small subunit ribosomal RNA
Source: RNAcentral